AACGCUGGCGGCGUGCCUAACACAUGCAAGUCGCACGAGAAAGGGUAGCAAUACCUGAGUAAAGUGGCGCACGGGUGAGUAACACGUGAAUCAUCUACCUCCGAGUGGGGAAUAACUGAGAGAAAUCUUAGCUAAUACCGCAUAACACUUACGAGUCAAAGCAGCAAUGCGCUUGGAGAGGAGUUCGCGGCAGAUUAGUUAGUUGGCGGGGUAAUGGCCCACCAAGACGAUGAUCUGUAUCCGGCCUGAGAGGGCGCACGGACACACUGGAACUGAAACACGGUCCAGACUCCUACGGGAGGCAGCAGUGGGGAAUUUUGCGCAAUGGGGGAAACCCUGACGCAGCAACGCCGCGUGGAGGAUGAAAUCCCUUGGGAUGUAAACUCCUUUCGAUAGGGAAGAUAAUGACGGUACCUAUAGAAGAAGCCCCGGCUAACUUCGUGCCAGCAGCCGCGGUAAUACGAGGGGGGCAAGCGUUGUUCGGAUUUAUUGGGCGUAAAGGGUGCGUAGGCGGUUUGGCAAGUCUUGUGUGAAAUCUUUGGGCUCAACCCAAAGCCUGCACAAGAAACUGCCGGGCUUGAGUAUGGGAGAGGUGAGUGGAAUUUCCGGUGUAGCGGUGAAAUGCGUAGAUAUCGGAAGGAACACCUGUGGCGAAAGCGGCUCACUGGACCAUUACUGACGCUGAGGCACGAAAGCUAGGGGAGCAAACAGGAUUAGAUACCCUGGUAGUCCUAGCCCUAAACGAUGAUUGCUUGAUGUGGCAGGUACCCAAUCCUGCCGUGUCGAAGCUAACGCGAUAAGCAAUCCGCCUGGGGAGUACGGUCGCAAGGCUGAAACUCAAAGGAAUUGACGGGGGCCCGCGCAAGCGGUGGAGCAUGUGGUUUAAUUCGACGCAACGCGAAGAACCUUACCUGGGCUCGAAAUGUAGUGGAAUCCGGCAGAAACGUCGGCGUCUAGCAAUAGACCGCUAUAUAGGUGCUGCAUGGCUGUCGUCAGCUCGUGUCGUGAGAUGUUGGGUUAAGUCCCGCAACGAGCGCAACCCUUAUCUACAGUUGCUACCAUUUAGUUGAGCACUCUGUCGAAACCGCCUCGGAUAACGGGGAGGAAGGUGGGGAUGACGUCAAGUCCUCAUGGCCUUUAUGUCCAGGGCUACACACGUGCUACAAUGGCCGGUACAAACCGCUGCAAACCCGCGAGGGGGAGCUAAUCGGAAAAAGCCGGCCUCAGUUCGGAUUGGAGUCUGCAACUCGACUCCAUGAAGCUGGAAUCGCUAGUAAUCGUGGAUCAGCAUGCCACGGUGAAUACGUUCCCGGGCCU
This 1317-nucleotide ribosomal RNA is filed under the name uncultured bacterium. RNAcentral describes it as "16S ribosomal RNA". It matches the Rfam family "Bacterial small subunit ribosomal RNA", at positions 32 to 1381 of the family's 1533-position model. The record is from RNAcentral.